Molecule: small RNA, 28 nt
Filed under: Bombyx mori (domestic silkworm)
Lineage: Eukaryota; Metazoa; Arthropoda; Insecta; Lepidoptera; Bombycidae
Description: ovarian small RNA-16563
Source: RNAcentral
GCAUGUCCUGAGCUCCGGCGGAGUGGUU